Molecule: non-coding RNA, 91 nt
Organism: Mycena vulgaris
Lineage: Eukaryota; Fungi; Basidiomycota; Agaricomycetes; Agaricales; Mycenaceae
Source: the annotation of a GenBank genome assembly
GGCACUGUGGCGGAGUGGUUAACGCGACAGAUUCGAAUUCGUAGUCAUCUGUUCCUCUUGUAGGGCGCACGUUCGAAUCGUGCCAGUGUCG